Molecule: long non-coding RNA, 5190 nt
Organism: Falco peregrinus (peregrine falcon)
Lineage: Eukaryota; Metazoa; Chordata; Aves; Falconiformes; Falconidae
Exons: 4
Source: RefSeq, a predicted model, not a curated record
GCUUGGAGCAACGUCGUGGGGAGAGGGAGCGGUGGCAUCGCUCGGCUAUCAACAGGAUUAUUGAACUUCGCAGGAUAAGAAUUUGCCAAGGGCAUCAACAGCAGUUUUCCCAGGCUUCAGCACAAGGAUUAUAUAGUCAAUCCACAAAUGACUCAAAUCUUUGAAAAAACUGACAUGGUUAUCAGAGAGGCUUUGACGACAGCAAGGACGGGAGCGCUGUCUGGCUUAUUCCAUCAGAGAUUCUGCUUCCCCCUCAUUAACAUACCCAGGACAUCAGCACUGGCCAUCGGUCCCAGGGGAAUUGCUCAAAACUUUUAAGGGAAGACGCACAAGACCUCACCCCUGCAUUAUUUCAAAUAGAUCAAAUCAGGGUUCUUCAAUCCCACCGAGGAUGCACAGAGCUGAUCUCUAAGGCUGUGAUACCUGCUGCUGCUGUAAGUGUGAAAAAAAAGCUGCCUCUACCUGCUCCCUCUCAGUGCUCUGCAAUGAAAAACGCUUUUGGAGCAGCACUGGAAAUAAGCCCUCAAAAUAUCUGAUUAAACCUCUCAGGAAACUGUCACUAAUCACCUUCUCUCCUCUUGAUGGAAUAUAUUUAUGCAUUAUAAAUAUACCUACUAUGUGUGUGUGCUCCAUAAAUCACAUUCAGCACUUGUAUAUGAUGUAUAAGCACAUUCUAUAGAAUACACACAAAUACAGAUGCCAAACUCCCGCAGAGUUCGUCACUGGAAAACCUCUGAAAGGAUCUGAUCCUUAAUAUUUAAUGGGUGAGAUGCUAUUUCCUUCCUCAGCUUUUAUCUCUGGUUUGACACAGUCAUUAAGUUUGUUGUUUCCUUGCAAGAUUAUAUAAUUUAUGACCUAAUUUUAGACUUUUGUGUAACAGCGCUCAAAUACCGGUGGCGUAUCUGGAUUCCUUCUCACAGAGUGUUUCAGCAUUAGACACCAGCUAGAGCAUGAGCUCAGCUACGGGCUUCCCAUCGGCAAGGAGUUUCAAGCAUUGAAAGAAAACAGCCCAACAAUAUUCAGGUGGCAUUACAGGAUUAGCUUGUGGGUUGGGUUUUUUUCCCUGUAAGAAUAUGAUUUAGCAGCUUUUCCAAACCCUGCCGCAUGCAGCGGUUGGCAGGAAUCCCCUCUCAAUACAGUAAUCACCCCACAACUCCUAUUACUUAAAAUAUUUUUGUGUAGCAGCUUCUGACUUUGAGGCCAGUCUGGGACAAAUUGAUGCAGCCUUCCUCGCAGGGAGGGAUGGACGGAGCUGGGGAAAGCAGGUGAAGAACGUCAGUGCUUUAAAAUGACUGUUGGCCCCCUCGCCCCCUGGGAGAAAGCACAUGCUCGGCAACCACAGGCUGGCUGGGGUGAUUUUUUGCUGCACAAGAUGUUGCCAAAUAACUCUGAAACGACUGACGCUAAAGCUGUAGUCACGUUUUUCUGUGUCUUCUGUGUGUCCAGGGUGAUUCAGCGGUGUCAUAAAUACUGCCAUGAGUUUCAGGUAUUUUGUCAAUUUAAACCAUAUUGUUUGGACCAGUCUUUCAUCAAAUUUAAUAUAUUGGCUACUGCGUUAAUGCAUUUUGAGAGCACUUUAUUCCGUGUUUAAGAGGGAAGCGGCUUGUGGUUGCGCACAAGGUUAGAUGCUGGCUUUGUGCCUACAGUACAGUUAUGAGGCUUUUUUCCUUUUUUUCUACCUUACCCCGAGGUACCUAAUCCAGAUGACAGAGGUGGGGUGCACCUCAGACCAGCAGCAUGGGCAAUAGGGACCACAUACGUACAGCUCAACACACUCCUCUACCACAACAACGUAAGGCGGCAGGGGGAAGUGGGUGCCUAUGUGAAAGAAAAAUAAUCCUCAUGAAAAGGUGACAUUAUUUCUUGGAAUAAGAAAGAUUGGAGAAUGUACCUCCUUGGCUUUAAUGGAGCAGUUCCAGGAAAGCAGCAGCAACCAAAGUGUUUUCAGUAUCACAUAAUUCAAGAGUAAAAUCAUAAUUCCAAUUACUGUUUCAGCCAUUUCUGGCCUUGGGAAACCUAUGCUAAUAUUUAUUAUUAUAUGAUUGACCUAGGAUUUCUUCAUCAUUUACAUUAGCUACUACGAUAUUCAUAGUAACAUCCUUUAAAUCAUAUAAGCAGAUGUCAACAGUGCAUGAUGAAGUCACAUCCUGCAGAUUUUUUAUUUACUUAGUCCAUUUUUUUCCUGGUAAAAAUAACAUUGUGAGAUGCAUAAUCUCACCUCUACGAGGCCUCUAGGGGCAUAUAUAAUCACAGAAUGCAUUUUCAAUAAUCUCAAAAAAUGAGUCAAUUCUAUCUGAGGUACAAACAGUUAUACAAAGUCAGUAUUUCACUUCCAUCACUGCCUGACAUCAUCUUCCACACAGUGCGACAAAAUUUGUACUUAGCUCUUUGACAUGAAUUGCCACAAAGCCUUUGGAACAAAAAAUUGAGGAAAGCAAGGAAUUAAAAGGGAAUAACUUGAUUGAAAGAAUUUAGCCCUGUUUCUGGGUGCCGUAUUUUGAUUUGUAAUUUUGUCAGAUGCUUUCUUGUAAUGUCUGGACUGGCCAUUGACACCUCUAAUCUCAGUUCUUCAGUGAGGUGCCUAUGCACAAACCAAACAGGCCGUUGCCCAGAAUAUUCAAAGCUGGAAGCUGAUCUUAGUCAUCUAAAUAUUUCCUUUGCACGGGUAAGUAUUUCUCUGGGCGAAUUAAGAUACUGCAUUUAUUUUGCAGGCAGGUUCUCCAGGUGCGCUGCUUCUGAUGCUCUUCUGUGCCAAGUGCUGCAGAGCGGGCAAUACCUGACCACAACCUCCCUGAAAACAGUUUACUGUUCCACACAGGCAUUACCACCUGUAAUUCUUAUCAGCUUUAAAACCCCUUUUUAUUUUUUCUGCCCCUUCCAGCACAGAAGAGGGCACCAAAGGGGCUCCUUGGUGUCGGAGAGAUGAGCUCCCCACUGUGCAGCCACCACUCAUCUCCCUGCGAAGUGCAGCUCCCGCUCUCACCCAGCGCUGGAGAGCAGAGCCGGGUCCUUUGCAGCAUCUCCCUGGGGAACGUGCUGCAUCUGCAGGCUCAGUGCAGUGGGACCAUCAAUGCCAGCUGGAGAGGGCUGGCUUUGAUCACCUUUGUCUCUCACCCAUCACUUUUUUGCUGGAGUUAAAUUUUUCUGGACUUACAUUGCCUUAAAGGGUUUACCUGGCUCAGCAGGUGCCAGGUUUAGGAUACUUCGGGUGGUUUGUGGAUCGUUUUGGACAAAUGUUUAAGGUUCAUGGGCCUUAUACAGGCUGUCAGGCAGGUGGACUCUUCUACUCUCUGGGCAUGUAGCCCUAAAAAUGCCCUCUCAUUUCUAGAAACAAGGUGAGGUUAGAAGGUCAGAGCAGUCCUAGAUCAUGCUUCUAAAGAUUAGCAGUGUGUACUAAUUAUUAACAGUUUCUGUAGUGGUGCAGGUUACAGACACGGGACCAAACACCUGCAAUGAACCUCCUCAGGUGAAAUUCUCCUGGGCUGCAAUCACAUUUUUUCUGGAGAAGAGACUGCUGGCUGUGCUCAGGGCGAUCUGCCUGUUCCUGGCUGAAGAGGCACUUAAAAUCUACUGCUAAGAGACUUAUUAGCAAUGUAAAAAUGAAUUUGAAGCAAGAAAAGUAUUCUUCCUAGAAGAAAUGUAUUUUUUGUAAAAUCAGUGUUGCUGACAGAAGUAAUUGAGCUAACUCCUUGCCACUAUGGAUGUUAUUUGUUACCCCUUAUCUUACCAAAGCAAAGGUUGCCAAAUGCUUUGAACUUUUUAAAUAAUUGUUUCCAAAGUAUUUUGGUGGGUUUUUUUAAUAUAUAUAUAUAUAUAUAAAUUCUUUAGAGAACAGCUGGCUUCUAAUCCUUCCUCUUCCAAAGCUUUUACAGCUCAGCUUCUUCCCACUCUAGAUAUCUUUUAUUUUCCCUGUUUAGCUUUUAAUAUUUCUUAGAUAUUAUAAAAGUCUCUUGUACGGGUAAAUCUAGAGCUUUUGCUCAGACUGUAAAAGUUGUUCCUAAAGCUUUAAUAAACUGGAGUGAAAGACAAGGGGGGGAAAAAAAGAGUUUUAUUCGACCUGCUGCACGUGUUGGGGCUGUGGCUCGGUGGCACGUGCUGAGCGCCUGGCCAGUGCUGGAGCAGGGAUCUGGCCAUCGGUCUGGGGGGGUUUCUCUCUUCAGAUAAUUGCUUGGUGCCAGCGGCUGGUGGAGGGCUUGCCCCUUCCCUGCAUAUUCAUUCCUUCUGGGCUGAACUGGAUCCGGGUGCUGCUCUUCCCCCUCCAGCCCCCCCACCGGUGCUCACUGUUCCCUCCUGUGCCAAGGAGAGGGACACAGUUUUCUCGCAAACACAAUUUUUUGUUGGUUGCAUUUCACUUUUGCAACCACAGCAACAAAUAUUAACCCAGAAACAGGACAGAAAGCUCUCCCAGAGUGUGUUGUUAAAGCAGUGUCAGAGGCCUGCAGGAAAGCUAUGGUUAUUAUUUGCAUAAAAAGAAGCAAACUCAUGGAUGUGGGAAAACUGAAAUGCUGGAAAAGCAAGAGAUGACUUAUUCAAUCAUCCGGGAAAGUUGAACUCAAAUGUUUUUAGUUAUCUGUCUAGCUGCUAUCUAACUAUUUAUUUACUUAUUUUGCAAAAGACACAAAUAACGAGAAACAUCUGUCUAGCUGGAGCAGUUACCUCGCCUUGGGUUCUCAGAGGCAACAGGGAUGGGUGUGGUUUAGGCAGACCUGUAUAGCCCAGAAAAACAAAUGACAGCUGAUGCUGCAGAGGGGCGGUGGGUGUUAAAUCCCAGUCUUCAGCCUAAGGCAGCAACCUAAACCAGGGAUCGGCAACGCCCAGGCAUUUGUGGGCAACUUCUGGAGUCACUGGAGAUUCAUAUCAGAUUCCAAAGGAAGGAUCCUUGUUGAGACACCUUGUGUCAGUGUGAAACCAGGAACACAACCCCCCCCCAUGGACAGCACAGGGCUCCUUGGCCCUUUGUCUAGUCAAGAUCCAGCUGCAGUUGAGGGAUGCUGACGUGUUUGUGCUGUGGGGCCAUCGCCCAGCUGUCCUCCAGCAUCGAGUCUUAUGCCCAGAUUGAGACUUCUUGAGUCUUCAAGUGGGAACUUGGUGGUGGGAGACUCCCACCAAGGCUGAUCUUCCCUCCUUCCAAAGCCAGUGGUGUCUGGUCUUAGGUACCACCAGCAGAUCCCUGGGCGCUUGGUUGAUGGU